GAUGGUAUAAAUACAGCAGGCUUUUAUUCUUAUAGUUUAAAUAGAUUUAAAAAGCAGAAUGUAUCAGAAGAAGGAAAACACAAAGACAUUACCCAAAAUACAAAGUUAAAAUCCUCCUUGAGACCAUUAGACCUCCGCUAUGGCACGUGCAAGUGACCAUCAACAUCUAAAAGAUAACAUAAAAUAAUUCAGUAACAAAAGCCUAAGAAAGCAAAGAGCAAAUCAUGUUUAACUCCAGCUGCAGAAGCCAGGUGAGGUGGGAAGACUCAGAAAGGACUGUGAUUGGAUUAUAGGAAGCUGCCAUAGAGGAGAGGACUUUUGAGUAAUCUAGAAGAGAGUAAUCUGCAACAUUGUUUUUUGUCCAUAAAACCUUUCACCCUGUACUAUGGCCAGAGUUUUACAGGAGGGUGUAUUCACAGACAGUGGCAUUUUGGAGGGAGAAUUUGUCCCAAGUCAUCAGAAGAAUACAUUCGUCAUCUGAAGACAACACACGGAGAGCUUCACCUCCAGCACUUCAGUGUUGCUAAGAAUUGUGCAGUCGCCAAUAGGAACAGCAAAACCUUUGGAAAACACUUCCAUUGUUUUAGGAAAAUCAUUGGAACGGAUCCUCUUCUGACCUGUCAAUUAUCCUCUUCUGUGUUGCAGUAUCCCCAAGCUGUCUGAAGAAAUUUUUCAGAUACUGCUAUCUGGUCUUACGCAUGCCCUGGUGGUUAUGAAGAAGCCAUCUGGAGAAAGGAGGGCUGGUAGAGGUGACAAGUGACAUCCAGGAGAGAGUAGUACAACAUGUGAGCAAGACUGAGGAAUUCCCAGAAAUUACUUGGCAAGGAGAAUCCAGUAGAUGAAUGAAAUUCCAAUGGCCUGUGGAGUGAGGGCUCAGACUUUAUUAGCUACAUAUUAAAUGAGCUAAUCCAUGAGUAACAGAGACUGGAACAUUCAGCAAAUAUUUCAUGAACUCCUCAACAUUUCCUAGCACCUGUGCAGACUAGGGCCAUGUGACUAAUACUACUGCGUAGGCAGUGGGAGGAAGUGAAGAACCCAGGCACAAUUUUGCGGGCACUCCUCCUAUUUGAACGAUGAAUGUCUGUGAUAAAGACAGUCAUAGAAAGAAUAACAUGUCUGUUCUUGACUCUCUUUUACAGGUCUUUAUUUGAAUCAAACUAGGGAGGAAUAAUGUUUUACCUAUAUCUAAACAUAGAGAGAGGACACUGGAAGCUAGAAUCUGAAAAACUGAGUUGGUAACUGGUAAAAUGGUGACUUCAGUUCUGGUGUCACAAGCAAGACCCAAAUCUCUCUGAGCCUCCACCUCCUUUUGUAAAGGGGAAAGUAACAUGUACUUCACAGUGCUGUUCUGAGUGUGUCAGUUAGCCUUGUAAAUGCAUUGCUUACAGGUAAGUUAUGAUUACAAAUGAGCAGGCUUUUAAGUCCUCAGCUGGUUUUCUGCCCCAAUCAGAAUGAAAUUGGCAUGAAACACAAAGGUGAAGAGGCCUCCUCCACUGCAUUCAGCCCUUGCCACUCCAUGUUUUUCCCUUGUCUUUCUAAGGAUUUACUUAGAUGCAUUUACACCAGUUUAACAGUGGAAAUUUCCUUUGUAGAGGCCCAAGUGUAGCUAGAAAACCCUCAGACAUCAAUCAACUUAGCCCAUAACAGGUAGCUUGCUUCUUUUGAUAAACAUAUAGGCAAACAAACAAA
Molecule: long non-coding RNA, 1689 nt
Filed under: Homo sapiens (human)
Lineage: Eukaryota; Metazoa; Chordata; Mammalia; Primates; Hominidae
Description: HSALNT0088565
Source: RNAcentral